GUGCCAGCAGCCGCGGUAAUACGAAGGUCCCGAGCGUUGUUCGGAAUCACUGGGCGUAAAGGGAGCGUAGGCGGCAUGGCAAGUCAGGUGUGAAAUCCCGGGGCUCAACCCCGGAACUGCACCCGAUACUGCCUUGCUAGAGUAAUGGAGGGGUAGCUGGAAUUCUCGGUGUAGCAGUGAAAUGCGUGGAUAUCGAGAGGAACACUUGUGGCGAAGGCGAGCUACUGGACAUUUACUGACGCUGAGGCUCGAAGGCCAGGGGAGCGAAAGGGAUUAGAUACCCCUGUAGUCC
This 292-nucleotide ribosomal RNA is filed under the name uncultured bacterium. RNAcentral describes it as "partial 16S ribosomal RNA". It matches the Rfam family "Bacterial small subunit ribosomal RNA", at positions 505 to 796 of the family's 1533-position model. The record is from RNAcentral.